UCCUUCACCCAAACUCACCAUUCAGCGAAAUGCAGAAAUGAUAAUGCCUCACAAGCUGGUUGUACAGAUUGAAUAACAAUGUGAACAGAGCACCGAGUAUAAUCCCUGAAACAGCAAACCAGAGGUCCCGUCUGGCUGGCAUGAAUGGAAGGGCAAACGCUCCGACCAAAUUGCUCUGGGAAUGUCAUUCUAAUUAUUGGAUCCUGACCCAGCAGCAUGCUGAUAAGCUCUGGGUUGGAGACGCCCUAUCUCAGAGGAGCUCCAAACCUGCUCAAGGCCUUUUCUUGCCCUCUGCAACUUUCCUGCCAAGCAAUUAGCCUCCAGGGGUAUCUGAGAGCGGGAGACUGGGAGGAGCGGGGUCCCUCGGGGUUGAAGUGGGGAGGGCUAACGGGCUGGGGAUGCCCCCUGUUGUGUUUCCAGGGAAAGCCUGUCCAGAUUGCCGUUGCCUUCUUUACCUUCAGUGUCAGAGUUGGGGUCCAGCCUGUAUUGUGGGGAGUAGGAAAAGCUUUUCUUGUUGAGCCCUGGGCUUCUGUUAGGGGUUGAAUUAUGUCCCUCCCCACACUCCACAUUCAUAUGUUGAAGCCCUAACCCCUAGUUCCUCAGAAUGUAACUGUAUUUGGAGAUACAGUCUUUAAAGAGGUCAUUACAUUAAAAUGAGGUCACUGGGGUGGGUCCUUAUCCAGUAAAACUGGUGUCCUUAGAAGAAGAGGAAAUUGGAACACGGACACGCACAGAGGAAAGACCAAGUGAAGAUACAGUGAGAAGAUGGCCAACGACAAGCCGAGGAACAGGGUCUCAGAGGACCCCAACCCUGCUGACACCUUGAUCUCGGGCUUUCAGCUUCCAGCACUGUGGCAAAAUUCAUUUCUACUGUUUAGGCCUCCCGGUCUGUGACAUGUUGUCACGGUGGCCACUGAAGACUCAGACAGCUUCCUUCUAGCUCUGGUUCUUCUACCGGUGUGCUUUCAGGUGCUCCGGAGGGCCCGGUGGCAGGGAAAGCCAGGUCUCCAGGCUCCUGGCCCAGGGCGUGUUUAGGAGGCAGGGCCUUCUCUGACACAAGUAUGAGGAGCAGAGAGGUUUCUCUUCUUCAGUCUCCACUAGGUCCUGGCCUCCAUGGCUUCUAUAGGCAGGGACCUGGCCAGGGCAUUCACCAGAGACUUUGACAGGGAGUCCAGGCCCAGACCCCAUAGGCAGAGCCAGGAGCCCUGUGCCAGCUUCCCAGGGAGCACCGGGGCCCAACGUAGAGUCAAGAGCUGGCAUCAGCACAGGUGCAAGGUGGGGUUGGGAAGGGCAUGGCAGCUUGGGGGUCUGCAGUGCACAGGUGGCCUGGCAUGAGGUAGGUGGGCCGGCUUGAAGGUCUAGAAGAUGGAUAGACACCAGAGACUUGUAGUCUAUGUCUCCUUCUUGCUGUCCCCUGGAUGUCACCUCCCCUCUGCCCCCAGUGCUGAACUAACCCCCUUCAUCUUUUACUUGGGACUCCAUCAGUGACUCAUCAUUGCUUUUGGUGUGACUUACCAGCGGCCGCUCCGUCUGCCUCUUCCUUCCCCUCCAGGGUCAUUUUGAACACUCUUCCUUCCUGACAACUAAACUUUUCACUGUUUCCCAUCAUAACAUGUUAUUUUAUACUUCAUUUAACUAUCCACCCACCUAUCCAUUUAUCCACCCACCUACCCACCUAUCCAUCCACGCACCCACUCAUCCAUCCAUCCAUCCAUCCAUCCAUCCAUCCAUCCAUCCAUCCAGCAAAUAUUUGCCUAGUGUCUGCCUUGGGCACCCAUGCUGGACCCUGGUGCCACAGUGCAGAGCCCACGCCCAGCCCCUCCCCCCAUGAAGCUCACAGUCUAGCUAGGGAGCUAGACAUCAGCCCAUCAGAUGACUUACAUCUAAAAUUAUAAACUAAGACAUGCAGUGAAGGGAAAAAUCAGGGAGUGCUGAGCACAGAAAACCAUGGGACCGAUGGGGUUGGGGGUUGAGAUGAGCUCCAUGUGGAGGAGGGGACAUUGUGUGGGCUGAGACCUGAACCGUGAGUCAAGUGAAUCAGGAGGAGGGGAAGGAAGGGUGUUCUUGGCAGAAGGGACCACACGUGUGAAGUCCCUGAGGUGGCUGGGAGCUGGAAGAAAGCCGAGUGACUGCAGCACAGAGUGAGAGGGUGGCGGUGGUGUUGGGCUGGGAGGUCCUGGGGGGGUUGCAUCUUCUUGUUUCUAGGGCAGUAACUGGUUCACGCUGGGAACUCAGCGGGAAUUGAGGAAGGCAUGAGGUUGUCGCUAGUCAUUAUUUGCAGGGGGAUGGCAGUCUACUCAGGGACUCUUGCUGCACAUGACAGCACACCCCCUCCCCGCCCCCGCCCCAUUUACCAUCUCUAAGGGGUUCUGCUAAGGUCAUCUGUCUACUCUGGAGCCCAGAAUCCCUUUGUUCCUCCCUCUUCCACUGUUAGUAUUUCGACAGGUUUUCCUCUAGGCUUUUUGGUGCAGGUCACUCAGAUGUCUGCAGGCCACCCUAGCCCAAGCAGUCACUUUGUUUCUCCGGCUCUGCCCUGCCCGUCAAAUCUACACACACGCUUCCUGGAGUCCUGUGGGUAUGUCUCGUGUGUGCUCACAAGCCAGGCAGUUUGAUCCUGUGUAGCAUCUGUCAUGUUUUAGUGUUGCCCCUGGUGAUGUCCAUGUCUGAGACCUCAGAUGUUGAGGCGGGGUGAAAAUGCCUCACCGUCACCUCCGCUGAGAGCAGCAACACCUCCAGGUGCCAAAGGGAUAUGCAGCCAGCCAGCCACGAAGCUGCCAUGCGGGGUUCUGCCAAGAAGGCUGAGAAUGCGCCUGUUCUCCAUUCUACAUGACAGUUGGUAACCCGGACACCAGAACAACUGGCUGACCGCUGCUUGAAAACAGUGCCCAGUGUCCACCUGUAGCUCUCACUCCUUCAGGCUUGGUCUGUGAAUUUGGGCUGGGAUCCAAAUGUUGGGGGCAGGUGAUGCAGGCUCCCCAAUACCCCACCCCUCUGGGGUGCACACACUCAGGGCACUUCUCCCCCAAACCUUCAUGGAAACCAGCACAUGGAAAUUGUGACCUCACCUCACAAGAUAAGCAAGCAGGCUUAAAAAUACCUAGAUCCUUAUAUGAACGUAGCUCAGGUGCUGACUUCACUCUAGUGUAGAGGGUGAUUUUAAUUUUGUAUGAAUUAUAAUCAAUGUGCUUUCCAUUUUGAGUGCUUUUUUUUACUCUACAUUGUAAGCAUGUUCAUAUUAUUACAGUCUUCAUAGGCAGAAUUCUUAGCAGCUCCUUGAUAGUUCAAUAAGGAGAUGCACCCCUUUUCCUGAGCACCCCCUAUUAUUGGACAUUUAGCUUAUUUCCAGAUUGUUGCUAUUUUUAAUGAUGUGCAUGGAACAUCACCAUAUAUUGGGCUAUUAGUGCAUAUUUUCAGAAUAAGAAUGACCAACUUGAGAAGUAUAAAAGAGUUUGAUCCAUUAAGUUUAAUUGCCAUCCAACUAGUUUGUAGCAACUCACAAGUCCACCAAUAUUUUCCACGGGUAGGUACCAGAUCCUUAACCGUAAUUGCUAUAGGAUCUGCCUGGCUGGAUUACCUCUCUUCAUAAUGACAAGAAUGAUUCUUGAAGCUCAGGGUUUUAUAAAGAGAAAAGGGAAUUAGUUAAGGACUGAAUGCAGACCAUAGAAUCAACUGCAUAGAGUUUCUAACCAACCAUUUAAACAUACAUAUAGAUCUAAAAUAACAAACUAUAUAUAGCUAUAGCGCCUGUGGGGAUCUUGUGUCAAUGGCACUCUCACCUCCUAGGAUGCAUGAGUGAGGAAGAAAUACCUUACUUAGCCUGGUAAGGUGAGGCCCUACCACUGCUCUGGAACACCCUUCUGUCAUCUGUAGGGGGGAUUACCCUCUGCUUCUCCAUGCCCACCUUGGCCCCCAUUCUGACCGAUCCACACUGUAGCAGAUGCUCCCUCACCUGUAUUGGGAAUGGCCUGACAAUGGCAUAAGAGUUCUUACUCUAAAGUUGCGCAAAAGCUACGCUUCAGGGGCGGGGCCUUCAUCAGCUGUAUUUCUGAAGUUUUGUUUGCUUUUGCUCCUAUUUGCUACUAUUCAGACCUGCUGCAAAAGCUGAAAGUGUGACUGUCCUCUAGUUUAGCAAUUAUGUCUUCUGCAGGUCCCUGGUACACAAUGGCCGUCUCUCUUUUUUUUUUUUUAUUUUUUUUUGCAUUUUGGUAGUAGGAGGUGUGUGUGGACCUUCCCAGCUAUUUACAGGAGGAGGAAAUCUACUUCUUCUACAUACAUGGUACCCAAAUUCAUACUAAGCUGUUUUCUAGGUUGCUUAAGUGCACCCUCCCACCCAGCGCAGCAGCCCUGUGCCCUGUGUAUGUGUGGGGAGGGAGGUUUAACUCUUUCAUGCUACACCUACGUAGUCUAUGAACUAAGGUGAUAACUUAUACAGAUGGUCCCCAACUUCUGAUGGUGCAACGUCAUGACAUAUUGACUUUAUGAUGAUGUGAAACAGUUGCAAUUUUGAUGUAAUGUACAGUAUUCAAUUCAAUAAAUGACAGAUAUUCAGCACUUUAUUAUAAAAUAG
RNAcentral lists this long non-coding RNA (4567 nucleotides) under Homo sapiens (human). RNAcentral's name for it is "HSALNT0222109". Lineage: Eukaryota; Metazoa; Chordata; Mammalia; Primates; Hominidae. The record is from RNAcentral.